Molecule: ribosomal RNA, 429 nt
Filed under: uncultured bacterium
Lineage: Bacteria
Description: bacterial SSU rRNA
Rfam family: Bacterial small subunit ribosomal RNA
Source: RNAcentral
UGCUAAUACCGCAUAAGCGCACAGCAUCGCAUGAUGCAGUGCGACAAGUUCUUCGGUACAAGAUGGACCCGCGUAUGAUAAGCUAGUUGCUGAGGUAACGGCCCACCAAGGCGACGAUCAGUAGCCGACCUGAGAGGGUGACCGGCCACAUUGGGACUGAGACACGGCCCAAAAUCCUACGGGAGGCAGCAGUGGGGAAUAUUGCACAAUGGGCGCAAGCCUGAUGCAGCGACGCCGCGUGAGCGAAGAAGUAUUUCGGUAUGUAAAGCUCUAUCAGCAGGAAAGAUAAUGACGGUACCUGACUAAGAAGCCCCGGCUAACUACGUGCCAGCAGCCGCGGUAAUACGGAGGGUGCAAGCGUUAAUCGGAAUUACUGGGCGUAAAGCGCACGCAGGCGGUUUGUUAAGUCAGAUGUGAAAUCCCCGGGCU